ACGGAGGGUGCGAGCGUUAAUCGGAAUUACUGGGCGUAAAGCGCAUGCAGGUGGUUCGUUAAGUCAGAUGUGAAAGCCCGGGGCUCAACCUCGGAACUGCAUUUGAAACUGGCGGACUAGAGUACUGUAGAGGGGGGUAGAAUUUCAGGUGUAGCGGUGAAAUGCGUAGAGAUCUGAAGGAAUACCGGUGGCGAAGGCGGCCCCCUGGACAGAUACUGACACUCAGAUGCGAAAGCGUGGGGAGCAAACAGG
This 252-nucleotide ribosomal RNA is filed under the name uncultured bacterium. Its description in RNAcentral is "partial 16S ribosomal RNA". It matches the Rfam family "Bacterial small subunit ribosomal RNA", at positions 525 to 776 of the family's 1533-position model. The record is from RNAcentral.